GCUGUCCACCCCAGUGACCCACGCCAAGUCCACAGUAGAGACGAGUACGAACGCCUUACCGGUUGUCGCGUCCAUCGACACUUCGGCGCAGAUAUGCGAUGACAGAUACACCAGUAGCUACCAGCUAGCCCACUGCCACGCCAGGCCGUCUUCCCCACCGGUGGAGCUGGCUGAGUUCCCGCCACAGCGGCCAGAGCCGUGCCGCAGUGACUCAAGGCAACUUUGAAAUCGGUGGCAUUGGCAGCGGCGAGACGAAGGCGUCCAUACAGACUGGUUCGCAUCAGCAGCUCAGGAACAGCUACACAUCUGUCGA
Ostrinia nubilalis (European corn borer) is the source of this 313-nucleotide long non-coding RNA. RefSeq lists it as uncharacterized. Lineage: Eukaryota; Metazoa; Arthropoda; Insecta; Lepidoptera; Crambidae. The transcript is spliced from 3 exons. The record is from RefSeq and is a predicted model, not a curated record.